GGUUAAGCGACUAAGCGUACACGGUGGAUGCCCUGGCAGUCAGAGGCGAUGAAGGACGUGCUAAUCUGCGAAAAGCGUCGGUAAGGUGAUAUGAACCGUUAUAACCGGCGAUGUCCGAAUGGGGAAACCCAGUGCAAUUCGUUGCACUAUCGUUAACUGAAUACAUAGGUUAACGAGGCGAACCGGGGGAACUGAAACAUCUAAGUACCCCGAGGAAAAGAAAUCAACCGAGAUUCCCCCAGUAGCGGCGAGCGAACGGGGAGCAGCCCAGAGUCUGAAUCAGCUUGUGUGUUAGUGGAACGGUCUGGAAAGUCCGACGGUACAGGGUGAUAGUCCCGUACACCAAAAUGCACAGGUUGUGAACUCGAAGAGUAGGGCGGGACACGUGGUAUCCUGUCUGAAUAUGGGGGGACCAUCCUCCAAGGCUAAAUACUCCUGACUGACCGAUAGUGAACCAGUACCGUGAGGGAAAGGCGAAAAGAACCCCGGCGAGGGGAGUGAAAAAGAACCUGAAACCGUGUACGUACAAGCAGUGGGAGCACCUUCGGGUGUGACUGCGUACCUUUUGUAUAAUGGGUCAGCGACUUAUAUUCUGUAGCAAGGUUAACCGUAUAGGGGAGCCGCAGGGAAACCGAGUCUUAACUGGGCGUUAAGUUGCAGGGUAUAGACCCGAAACCCGGUGAUCUAGCCAUGGGCAGGUUGAAGGUUGGGUAACACUAACUGGAGGACCGAACCGACUAAUGUUGAAAAAUUAGCGGAUGACUUGUGGCUGGGGGUGAAAGGCCAAUCAAACCGGGAGAUAGCUGGUUCUCCCCGAAAGCUAUUUAGGUAGCGCCUCGUGAAUUCAUCUUCGGGGGUAGAGCACUGUUUCGGCUAGGGGGUCAUCCCGACUUACCAACCCGAUGCAAACUACGAAUACCGAAGAAUGUUAUCACGGGAGACACACGGCGGGUGCUAACGUCCGUCGUGAAGAGGGAAACAACCCAGACCGCCAGCUAAGGUCCCAAAGUCAUGGUUAAGUGGGAAACGAUGUGGGAAGGCACAGACAGCCAGGAUGUUGGCUUAGAAGCAGCCAUCAUUUAAAGAAAGCGUAAUAGCUCACUGGUCGAGUCGGCCUGCGCGGAAGAUGUAACGGGGCUAAACCAUGCACCGAAGCUGCGGCAGCGACACUAUGUGUUGUUGGGUAGGGGAGCGUUCUGUAAGCCUGCGAAGGUGUGCUGUGAGGCAUGCUGGAGGUAUCAGAAGUGCGAAUGCUGACAUAAGUAACGAUAAAGCGGGUGAAAAGCCCGCUCGCCGGAAGACCAAGGGUUCCUGUCCAACGUUAAUCGGGGCAGGGUGAGUCGACCCCUAAGGCGAGGCCGAAAGGCGUAGUCGAUGGGAAACAGGUUAAUAUUCCUGUACUUGGUGUUACUGCGAAGGGGGGACGGAGAAGGCUAUGUUAGCCGGGCGACGGUUGUCCCGGUUUAAGCAUGUAGGCUGAUUAUCCAGGCAAAUCCGGAUAAUCAAGGCUGAGGUGUGAUGACGAGGCACUACGGUGCUGAAGUAACAAAUGCCCUGCUUCCAGGAAAAGCCUCUAAGCAUCAGGUAACAUCAAAUCGUACCCCAAACCGACACAGGUGGUCAGGUAGAGAAUACCAAGGCGCUUGAGAGAACUCGGGUGAAGGAACUAGGCAAAAUGGUGCCGUAACUUCGGGAGAAGGCACGCUGGUGUGUAGGUGAAGUCCCUGCGGAUGGAGCUGAGACCAGUCGAAGAUACCAGCUGGCUGCAACUGUUUAUUAAAAACACAGCACUGUGCAAACACGAAAGUGGACGUAUACGGUGUGACGCCUGCCCGGUGCCGGAAGGUUAAUUGAUGGGGUUAUCCGUAAGGAGAAGCUCUUGAUCGAAGCCCCGGUAAACGGCGGCCGUAACUAUAACGGUCCUAAGGUAGCGAAAUUCCUUGUCGGGUAAGUUCCGACCUGCACGAAUGGCGUAAUGAUGGCCAGGCUGUCUCCACCCGAGACUCAGUGAAAUUGAACUCGCUGUGAAGAUGCAGUGUACCCGCGGCAAGACGGAAAGACCCCGUGAACCUUUACUAUAGCUUGACACUGAACAUUGAGCCUUGAUGUGUAGGAUAGGUGGGAGGCUUUGAAGCGUGGACGCCAGUCUGCGUGGAGCCAACCUUGAAAUACCACCCUUUAAUGUUUGAUGUUCUAACGUUGGCCCCUUACCGGGGUUGCGGACAGUGUCUGGUGGGUAGUUUGACUGGGGCGGUCUCCUCCCAAAGCGUAACGGAGGAGCACGAAGGUUAGCUAAUCCUGGUCGGACAUCAGGAGGUUAGUGCAAUGGCAUAAGCUAGCUUGACUGCGAGCGUGACGGCGCGAGCAGGUGCGAAAGCAGGUCAUAGUGAUCCGGUGGUUCUGAAUGGAAGGGCCAUCGCUCAACGGAUAAAAGGUACUCCGGGGAUAACAGGCUGAUACCGCCCAAGAGUUCAUAUCGACGGCGGUGUUUGGCACCUCGAUGUCGGCUCAUCACAUCCUGGGGCUGAAGUAGGUCCCAAGGGUAUGGCUGUUCGCCAUUUAAAGUGGUACGCGAGCUGGGUUUAGAACGUCGUGAGACAGUUCGGUCCCUAUCUGCCGUGGGCGCUGGAGAAUUGAGGGGGGCUGCUCCUAGUACGAGAGGACCGGAGUGGACGCAUCACUGGUGUUCGGGUUGUCAUGCCAAUGGCACUGCCCGGUAGCUAAAUGCGGAAGAGAUAAGUGCUGAAAGCAUCUAAGCACGAAACUUGCCCCGAGAUGAGUUCUCCCUGAGACUUUAAGUCUCCUGAAGGAACGUUAAAGACGAUGACGUUGAUAGGCCGGGUGUGUAAGCGCAGCGAUGCGUUGAGCUAACCGGUACUAAUGAACCGUGAGGCUUAACCUU
RNAcentral lists this ribosomal RNA (2902 nucleotides) under Klebsiella pneumoniae. RNAcentral describes it as "23S ribosomal RNA". It matches the Rfam family "Bacterial large subunit ribosomal RNA". The record is from RNAcentral. Lineage: Bacteria; Pseudomonadati; Pseudomonadota; Gammaproteobacteria; Enterobacterales; Enterobacteriaceae.